This 580-nucleotide ribosomal RNA is filed under the name uncultured bacterium. RNAcentral's name for it is "bacterial SSU rRNA". It matches the Rfam family "Bacterial small subunit ribosomal RNA", at positions 61 to 635 of the family's 1533-position model. The record is from RNAcentral.
GUCGAGCGGUACAGGUGUAGCAAUACAUGCUGACGAGCGGCGAACGGGUGAGUAAUGCUUUGGAAUCUUCCCAGUAGUGGGGAAUAACCAGUCGAAAGAUUGGCUAAUACCGCAUACGUCGGAGACGAGAAAGCGGGGGAUCGUAAGACCUCGCGCUAUUGGGUGAGCCAAAGUCGGAUUAGCUAGUUGGUGGGGUAAUGGCCUACCAAGGCGACAAUCCGUAGCUGGUCUGAGAGGACGACCAGCCACACCGGAACUGAGACACGGUCCGGACUCCUACGGGAGGCAGCAGUGGGGAAUAUUGGACAAUGGGGGAAACCCUGAUCCAGCGACGCCGCGUGUGUGAAGAAGGCCUGCGGGUUGUAAAGCACUUUUAGUGGGGACAAAAAGUCACGGAUUAAUACUUCGUGAUCUUGAUUUAACUCACAGAAAAAGCACCGGCUAACUCUGUGCCAGCAGCCGCGGUAAUACAGAGGGUGCGAGCGUUAAUCGGAAUUACUGGGCGUAAAGCGCGUGUAGGCGGGCUUUUAAGUCAGGGGUGAAAUGCCAAGGCUCAACCUUGGAACUGCCUUUGAUACUG